GGAGCCCCCCGGGCCGCCUGAGACCCCCUGGGUGGGAUCUGACCCCCCCUGGGGUGGGGUUUGAUCCCCCCUGGGUGGGAUCUGACCCCUCCAUGGGGCAGGAUCCAGCCCCGAUCCCAUCAGGAUUUGGGGUCGGGUCUUGUUCCCCUUCUCGCUGCCCUACUGGGACCUGCCGGGAGCCCCCCGGGCUGGGUGAGACCCCCUGGGGUGGGAUUGAUCCCCCCUGGGUGGGAUCUGACCCCCCCUGGGUGGGAUUUGAUCCCCCCUGGGUGGGAUUGAUCCCCUCCAGGUGGGGUUUGAUCCCCCCUGGGUGGGAUCUGACCCCUCCAUGGGGCAGGAUCCACCCCCGAUCCCAUCAGGAUUUGGGGUCGGGUCUUGUGUCCCCUCUCCAGAUCCUGAAGGAACUUUCUGGAACCCCUCCAGGGUGGGAUUUGACCCCUCCCCGGGGGGAUCUGACCCCCCCAGGGUGGGAUUUGACCCCCCCAGGGUGGGAUUUGACCCCCCCAGGGUGGGAUUUGACCCCUCCAGGGUGGGAUCUGACCCCUCCAGGGUGGGAUUUGACCCCUCCCCGGGGGGAUUUGACCCCCCCAAAGCGGAUCUGGCCCCGAUCCCUUCGGGGGUCUCGGGCACGUCGGGCACUGCUGUGGCAAUUAAAGG
This 657-nucleotide long non-coding RNA is filed under the name Parus major (Great Tit). RNAcentral describes it as "lncRNA (ENSPMJG00000002523.1)". The record is from RNAcentral. Lineage: Eukaryota; Metazoa; Chordata; Aves; Passeriformes; Paridae.